AAGGAAAAUAAGAGGCUCUACUACAAAAAGGACCGUGCGGUACUCGAGAGGUUAUCCAAAGCGUUGAAGCUGCACCACUUUCUUGGAAAGGCACACAUGAAAGAGAAUCAAGGCAAGAGAACGCUGAAUAAGAAGAAUGCUGCAUCAUCGCCUUUAACAGGAUCCACAUUGGCAUCUACAUCGCCCUCAAUAGGAUC
Arachis ipaensis is the source of this 197-nucleotide non-coding RNA. The record is from RefSeq and is a predicted model, not a curated record. Lineage: Eukaryota; Viridiplantae; Streptophyta; Magnoliopsida; Fabales; Fabaceae.